GCGGUGACAGAAGUGUAAAAAGUCGUCUAGAUAGCGAGUUUAAUCUCCCCGAAUAACACACGGCUAAAAAUGGUCUUAACUUGAAGACAAAUGUAUCUUCUUUAUUUUUUGCCCUGUCGUCAGAAGUUCGUAUGGUCACAUUUUUCUAAAAAGUCGUUUUAAUGACUAGUAGUAUAUUGAAAUGUUUCAACCCCCCUUUUUCAAAAUGAAAAUUUGAACAUAUUUGUUUACAUUUAAUUGAUAUAUUUUUUUCUUAAGUUAUUAUCAUAUGUCGAACUAUUAUGUUCAGUAUUUUAU
RNAcentral lists this long non-coding RNA (297 nucleotides) under Mytilus galloprovincialis (Mediterranean mussel). The record is from RNAcentral. Lineage: Eukaryota; Metazoa; Mollusca; Bivalvia; Mytilida; Mytilidae.